Long non-coding RNA from Arachis ipaensis, 806 nucleotides. RefSeq lists it as uncharacterized. The record is from RefSeq and is a predicted model, not a curated record. Lineage: Eukaryota; Viridiplantae; Streptophyta; Magnoliopsida; Fabales; Fabaceae.
GGAAUGUAAAUAAUGAAACAAAAAGACUAAAUUACCCCUAUUAUUUAAUACUAGCCUUCACCUUCUUCUUCAUUUUUCUCUCGAGAACGAACCCUAGCAAAGCGGUUUUUCCCCCAAAUCAGUGAGCUUCACCAACGCCACCGCCACCGGAGCCGGUACUGGCGCCGCCAUUACUCUAAACAGAAGAUUCGUCUCCUUCUCUUCUCCAAUUCAUGUUCACACUGCUUUUCUCUGUGAAUUUUCUUCGAAUCUCAUAUUAAGGUUUGAGUUUUUUUCCAAAACAGUGGAGGCUUCACCAACGCCACCGCCAUCGGAGCUACGCCGGUGCCACCGUUACCCUAAACGGAAGACUGGUUUCCUUCUCUUCUUCGAGUUCAUGUUCGCAUUGUUUCUCUCUGCGAAUUUUCUUUGAAUCUCUCAUUAAGGUGAUGGAGUUUCAUUAUCCUUCUUCUCUUCUCUAAGUAAUUGGCAAAGUACCUCUUCAUAUGGUACCUACUAUGCCUCAAUGCAUCCAACAUGUUCUCCGUUAUGGAAUUCGUGUGCUUCAACUUCGGUGCUGAAGAAGAAGUAGCAGCCAUUUUUGAGAAAGUUCCUGAUCACAAAACAAUAGCUCGUCUUCAGUUGGCAGAUGCAAAGGAUGUAUUGGAAGGCAUUUAAGAUGUGAAAGGUGUUAGUUUUCCUAUAUUAACUCCAAACCUCAAAAUCUACUAUAUAUACUAUCAUCUACUCCUAAACAUCCAAACUUCGUUGAGCACACCAGUGAGAAAGCCAAGGAAGCUAAAGAUAUACAAGUGAGAUGAAAAGGC